Molecule: ribosomal RNA, 253 nt
Filed under: uncultured bacterium
Lineage: Bacteria
Description: partial 16S ribosomal RNA
Rfam family: Bacterial small subunit ribosomal RNA
Source: RNAcentral
UACGGAGGGUGCAAGCGUUAUCCGGAUUCACUGGGUUUAAAGGGUGCGUAGGUGGGAAUGUAAGUCAGUGGUGAAAUCUCCGUGCUUAACAUGGAAACUGCCAUUGAUACUAUGUUUCUUGAAUUUUCUGGAGGUCAGCGGAAUAUGUCAUGUAGCGGUGAAAUGCAUAGAUAUGACCCGGAACACCGAUUGCGAAGGCAGCCCACUAAGCAACGAUUGACGCUGAGGCACGAAAGCGUGGGGAUCAAACAGG